Molecule: long non-coding RNA, 347 nt
Organism: Hippocampus zosterae (dwarf seahorse)
Lineage: Eukaryota; Metazoa; Chordata; Actinopteri; Syngnathiformes; Syngnathidae
Exons: 3
Source: RefSeq, a predicted model, not a curated record
AAAAUAAAGCUCACCAGCAGCGACAGCUUGCUCACAUCAUCAGUUAUUGGGGGUCCGAGUUUUCCACAGCACAGAUUCCAACUUGUCAACAGACUCAAGAGGAGACAAGGUGCCUUGAAGAUCUGCAAAGAAGUCCGAUUUGUCAGGCUUAACACAAGCUCAUCUGCCUUUGUCAACAACAAGACUGGAACCAAAUAUAUCAUUUUCAAACAACAGGGCGCAACGCUCCACGCGUGUACCCCUAACGAAAUACAAUUCGAAGAUCCACGCAAACGCGUGACGAAUCAGACAAAACGGACAGAGAAGAAGCCGGGCUUACUUUCUCCCUCAUAUGGAGCACAAAUGCA